Molecule: ribosomal RNA, 465 nt
Filed under: Vreelandella stevensii
Lineage: Bacteria; Pseudomonadati; Pseudomonadota; Gammaproteobacteria; Oceanospirillales; Halomonadaceae
Description: partial 16S ribosomal RNA
Rfam family: Bacterial small subunit ribosomal RNA
Source: RNAcentral
CCUACGGUGCGCAGCAGUGGGGAAUAUUGGACAAUGGGCGAAAGCCUGAUCCAGCCAUGCCGCGUGUGUGAAGAAGGCCUUCGGGUUGUAAAGCACUUUCAGUGGGGAAGAAAGCCUUGGGGCUAAUACCCUCGAGGAAGGACAUCACCCACAGAAGAAGCACCGGCUAACUCCGUGCCAGCAGCCGCGGUAAUACGGAGGGUGCGAGCGUUAAUCGGAAUUACUGGGCGUAAAGCGCGCGUAGGCGGUCUGAUAAGCCGGUUGUGAAAGCCCCGGGCUCAACCUGGGAACGGCAUCCGGAACUGUCAGGCUAGAGUGCAGGAGAGGAAGGUAGAAUUCCCGGUGUAGCGGUGAAAUGCGUAGAGAUCGGGAGGAAUACCAGUGGCGAAGGCGGCCUUCUGGACUGACACUGACGCUGAGGUGCGAAAGCGUGGGUAGCAAACAGGAUUAGAUACCCCUGUAGUC